Long non-coding RNA from Pyrgilauda ruficollis (rufous-necked snowfinch), 327 nucleotides. RefSeq lists it as uncharacterized. The transcript is spliced from 3 exons. Lineage: Eukaryota; Metazoa; Chordata; Aves; Passeriformes; Passeridae. The record is from RefSeq and is a predicted model, not a curated record.
GUCUCUGUGAAUUUGGGGAGGGGUCCCAGCCCGUUUCCCCCCCCCCAGUGCGAGCUCUCCACCCUGGAGGGGAUCAAGUCCUGUCUCUCCUUCUACCCCGGCGCCUGCGGCUCCAUGAGGGGGAAGCUGGCGGCGCAUUUCCUGUCGCGCAUCGACAGCGAGAGCCCGCGGCUGCAGCAGCUGGCCUGCGAGUGCUACGCGCUGCUGCCGGCGCUGGGCCGCGGUUUCUCGCAGGGGCUGCGGCACACGGAGUGCUGGCACCAGCAGCUGCAGGGGGUGCUGGCCACGCUGCACGGGCUGCUGGGGGCGCUCUUCGAGGGCUGCGAG